GCGCUCGAGAGAGGAAAGCGGGGGACCUUCGGGCCUCGCGCUGUGGGAGGAGCCUACGUACCGAUUAGCUAGUUGGUGGGGUAAUAGCCUACCAAGGCGACGAUCGGUAGCUGGUCUGAGAGGAUGAUCAGCCACACUGGGACUGAGACACGGCCCAGACUCCUACGGGAGGCAGCAGUGGGGAAUAUUGGACAAUGGGCGAAAAGCCUGAUCCAGCAAUGCCGCGUGGGUGAAGACGGCCUGCGGGUUGUAAAGCCCUUUAGGCGGGGAGGAACGACGGGGCGUGAAUAACGUUUCGGAGUGACGUUACCCGCGGAAUAAGCACCGGCUAACUCCGUGCCAGCAGCCGCGGUAAUACGGAGGGUGCGAGCGUUAAUCGGAAUUACUGGGCGUAAAGCGUGCGUAGGCGGAUGGGUCAGUCAGCCGUGAAAGCCCCGGGCUUAACCUGGGAACGGCGGUUGAGACGGCCCGUCUUGAGUGGGCUAGAGGAUCGUGGAACUCCCGGUGUAGCGGUGAAAUGCGUAGAGAUCGGGAAGAACACCGAUGGC
Molecule: ribosomal RNA, 548 nt
Filed under: uncultured bacterium
Lineage: Bacteria
Description: bacterial SSU rRNA
Rfam family: Bacterial small subunit ribosomal RNA
Source: RNAcentral